Non-coding RNA from Schistosoma mansoni, 45 nucleotides. NCBI's taxonomy places the organism in Eukaryota, Metazoa, Platyhelminthes, Trematoda, Strigeidida, Schistosomatidae. The record is from Rfam.
AUCCAGCUGGCGAGUCCCAAAUAGGACGAAACGCGCAUCCUGGAU